This 253-nucleotide ribosomal RNA is filed under the name uncultured prokaryote. RNAcentral's name for it is "partial 16S ribosomal RNA". It matches the Rfam family "Bacterial small subunit ribosomal RNA", at positions 525 to 777 of the family's 1533-position model. The record is from RNAcentral.
ACGUAGGGGGCAAGCGUUGUUCGGAAUUACUGGGCGUAAAGGGCGCGUAGGCGGCAUGGCAAGUCGGGAGUGAAAGCCCGGGGCUCAACCCCGGAACGGCUUUCGAAACUGCCAAGCUAGAGUACGGAAGGGGCAACUGGAAUUCCCAGUGUAGCGGUGAAAUGCGUAGAUAUUGGGAAGAACACCGGAGGCGAAGGCGGGUUGCUGGGCCGAUACUGACGCUGAGGCGCGAAAGCCAGGGGAGCAAACGGGA